AAUGUAGCUAUUAAUGUAAGGAAUAUUGUCAAAUAUUGGUUUCUCAUCUGUAGAGAAUGUAGCUAAUAAUGUAAGGAAUAUUGUCAAAUAUUGGUUUCUCAUCUGUAGAAAAUGUAGCUAUUAAUGUAAGGAAUAUUGUCAACUACUGGAUUCUCAUCUGUAGAGAAUGUAGCUAUUAAUGUAAGGAAUAUUGUCAAAUAUUGGUUUCUCAUCUUAGAGAAUGUAGCUAUUAAUGUAAGGAAUAUUGUCAAACAUUGGUUUCUCAUCUGUAGAGAAUGUAGCUAUUAAUGUAAGGAAUAUUGUCAACUACUGGCUUCUCAUCUGUAGAGAAUGUAGCUAUUAAUGUAAGGAAUAUUGUCAACUACUGAUUUCUCAUCUGUAGAGAAUGUAGCUAUUAAUGUAAGGAAUAUUGUCAACUACUGGCUUCUCAUCUGUAGAGAAUGUAGCUAUUAAUGUAAGGAAUAUUGUCAAAUAUUGGUUUCUCAUCUGUAGAGAAUGUAGCUAAUAAUGUAAGGAAUAUUGUCAAAUAUUGGUUUCUCAUCUGUAGAGAAUGUAGCUAUUAAUGUAAGGAAUAUUGUCAACUACUGGCUUCUCAUCUGUAGAGAAUGUAGCUAUUAAUGUAAGGAAUAUUGUCAACUACUGAUUUCUCAUCUGUAGAGAAUGUAGCUAAUAAUGUAAGGAAUAUUGUCAACUACUGGUUUCUCAUCUGUAGAGAAUGUAGCUAUUAAUGUAAGGAAUAUUGUCAAAUAUUGGUUUCUCAUCUGUAGAAAAUGUAGCUAUUAAUGUAAGGAAUAUUGUCAACUACUGAUUUCUCAUCUGUAGAAAAUGUAGCUAAUAAUGUAAGGAAUAUUGUCAAAUAUUGGUUUCUCAUCUGUAGAAAAUGUAGCUAUUAAUGUAAGGAAUAUUGUCAACUACUGGAUUCUCAUCUGUAAAGAAUGUAGCUAAUAAUG
This 950-nucleotide long non-coding RNA is filed under the name Haliotis rubra (blacklip abalone). Its description in RNAcentral is "uncharacterized LOC124281649, transcript variant X1". Lineage: Eukaryota; Metazoa; Mollusca; Gastropoda; Lepetellida; Haliotidae. The record is from RNAcentral.